This 1191-nucleotide ribosomal RNA is filed under the name Campylobacter jejuni. Its description in RNAcentral is "partial 23S ribosomal RNA". It matches the Rfam family "Bacterial large subunit ribosomal RNA", at positions 467 to 1515 of the family's 2925-position model. The record is from RNAcentral. Lineage: Bacteria; Pseudomonadati; Campylobacterota; Epsilonproteobacteria; Campylobacterales; Campylobacteraceae.
UAAAUACUAAUACCAGAUCGAUAGUGCACAAGUACCGUGAGGGAAAGGUGAAAAGAACUGAGGUGAUCAGAGUGAAAUAGAACCUGAAACCAUUUGCUUACAAUCAUUCAGAGCCCUAUGUAGCAAUACAGGGUGAUGGACUGCCUUUUGCAUAAUGAGCCUGCGAGUUGUGGUGUCUGGCAAGGUUAAGCAAACGCGAAGCCGUAGCGAAAGCGAGUCUGAAUAGGGCGCUUAGUCAGAUGCUGCAGACCCGAAACGAAGUGAUCUAUCCAUGAGCAAGUUGAAGCUAGUGUAAGAACUAGUGGAGGACUGAACCCAUAGGCGUUGAAAAGCCCCGGGAUGACUUGUGGAUAGGGGUGAAAGGCCAAUCAAACUUCGUGAUAGCUGGUUCUCUCCGAAAUAUAUUUAGGUAUAGCGUUGUGUCGUAAUAUAAGGGGGUAGAGCACUGAAUGGGCUAGGGCAUACACCAAUGUACCAAACCCUAUCAAACUCCGAAUACCUUAUAUGUAAUCACAGCAGUCAGGCGGCGAGUGAUAAAAUCCGUCGUCAAGAGGGAAACAACCCAGACUACCAGCUAAGGUCCCUAAAUCUUACUUAAGUGGAAAACGAUGUGAAGUUACUUAAACAACCAGGAGGUUGGCUUAGAAGCAGCCAUCCUUUAAAGAAAGCGUAAUAGCUCACUGGUCUAGUGAUUUUGCGCGGAAAAUAUAACGGGGCUAAAGUAAGUACCGAAGCUGUAGACUUGCACACAACUUAGAUUAUUUAAGUUUAGAAUAUGAGAAACUAAGUUAUAUGUUUAGUUAUAUUUUUACUGAUUUUUAUAGAGUAAAGAUAGAAAUAAAACUUAGUAAAAUCAGUAAAAAUAUUCUUAGACUAAAGUUAAGUAGUUUAAGUUGUGUGCAAGUGGUAGGAGAGCGUUCUAUUUGCGUCGAAGGUAUACCGGUAAGGAGUGCUGGAGCGAAUAGAAGUGAGCAUGCAGGCAUGAGUAGCGAUAAUUAAUGUGAGAAUCAUUAACGCCGUAAACCCAAGGUUUCCUACGCGAUGCUCGUCAUCGUAGGGUUAGUCGGGUCCUAAGUCGAGUCCGAAAGGGGUAGACGAUGGCAAAUUGGUUAAUAUUCCAAUACCAACAUUAGUGUGCGAUGGAAGGACGCUUAGGGCUAAGGGGGCUAGCGGAUGGAAGUGCUAGUCUAA